GGCCACGGACAUAGCAUCAUCGGC
This 24-nucleotide non-coding RNA is filed under the name Arabidopsis thaliana (thale cress). The record is from RNAcentral. Lineage: Eukaryota; Viridiplantae; Streptophyta; Magnoliopsida; Brassicales; Brassicaceae.